UUGUGUUUCCUUUGCCACACGUAGAAGUGACCUAACUUCCACGCGCUGUCUUACCCUUUUUAUUAACGUUAUCUUGCCACAGAACAGGGGGUGAAUGCGAGAAGAGUCGAGCGCAAGUUGAUUCACCUGCUAUCUUAUUGUCUGCAGUACAUAAAUCUUGAAAAGUGUGCUUUGAAUGGGAAAGGAUACCGACUUAAUGAUACAUUUACUCUAACUACAGCUGGGCGUGCGUGGAAUCCUAAUGUGCGCUGCAGACUCUUCAUUGUAACAGAUGUUGCUUUCUGCUUAUAAAAUCUCUUAACUCCCAAGUCAGCGUGUAGCAAGCUGCAAAUGGUAUUUCAAAAUGAAAAAUCACAGGUGUUUUCUGGAUGUCAUCCAAAGAAAGGAGCGCAGAUUUCAGGCAGAAAUCAAAUCAGACAACAUGGAAAGAUCCCCCCGAACAUCUCAGACAGUCAACAGAUGGUAGUUGUGCCAUUAAGAGUCAGCCUUCUCACCUGGGAAACUCAUGGCCAUGAGCAGCAAAAGUCACAGCUCCAGUAAUCAGAUGGUGUCCUGUCCCUGUCACCUGGAAAAGCCCCC
Long non-coding RNA from Harpia harpyja (harpy eagle), 579 nucleotides. RefSeq lists it as uncharacterized. The record is from RefSeq and is a predicted model, not a curated record. The transcript has 3 exons. NCBI's taxonomy places the organism in Eukaryota, Metazoa, Chordata, Aves, Accipitriformes, Accipitridae.